This 71-nucleotide transfer RNA is filed under the name Amphiura digitula. RNAcentral describes it as "tRNA-Ile". Lineage: Eukaryota; Metazoa; Echinodermata; Ophiuroidea; Amphilepidida; Amphiuridae. The record is from RNAcentral.
GGGUGAAGCCCUAAGGAAGGGAAAGUUAGCCGAUAACUAGCUUUAGGUUGGUUCGAAUCCAACUUCACUCU